GAUGAAGAACGCAGCAAAAUGCGAUAAGAAAUGUGAAUUGCAGAAUUCAGUGAAUCAUCGAAUCUUUGAACGCACAUUGCGCCCGCUGGUAUUCCGGCGGGCAUGCCUGUUCGAGCGUCAUUUCAACCCUCAAGCCCCCGGGUUUGGUGUUGGGGAUCGGCUCUGCCCUUCUGGGCGGUGCCGCCCCCGAAAUACAUUGGCGGUCUCGCUGCAGCCUCCAUUGCGUAGUAGCUAACACCUCGCAACUGGAACGCGGCGCGGCCAUGCCGUAAAACCCCAACUUCUGAAUGUUGACCUCGGAUCAGGUAGGAAUACCCGCUGAACUUAAGCAUAUCAAUAAGCGGAGGA
RNAcentral lists this unclassified non-coding RNA (348 nucleotides) under soil metagenome. RNAcentral's name for it is "partial contains 5.8S ribosomal RNA, internal transcribed spacer 2, and large subunit ribosomal RNA". The stretch from base 1 to 120 matches the Rfam family "5.8S ribosomal RNA", at positions 35 to 154 of the family's 154-position model. The record is from RNAcentral.